UGUGUAAACCAAUUUAAUUUGAAUUGAAUAAUUUAUUUUUUUAUAUAUUAAUUAUUAUUUUUAAUAAAAAUAUUUUUUUUUUUUUUUAUUAAUUUAGAUAAAAAUUUUAUAAUUAUAGUGCAUUAGUAUAGUGAUAGAAUAUUGAAAUAAUUGAAAUAUUAAAAUUUUUAAAAGAAAACUUUGUUUGUUGUACCUUGUGUAUCAGGGUUUAUUAAAUAAAAUUUAUGUAUUUUAAUUUUCUCGAAUUUAAAAGAGCUAAGAAACUAUAAAUUUUAUUGUGGCAUAAAUAUUUAAAAUAGUUUUUUAGUAAUGAAACGUUAUUCGUUUUUAAAUUUAUCUAGUUUUUUAAGAAAUAAAUUUAAUUUAGUUAGUUAUUGGUUAAUUUGGGAUAAUUUAUUAUUUGGAAUUAAUAUAAUUAAUUAAUAUUUUAAGGGAUAAGCUUUAAAAUAAAGAUUUUAUAAAUAUAAAUUUUAAUUUUAAAAUUAAUAGAAUUGGAAGUAUUUUUUUAUUUUAGUGUGUUAUAACAAAUUUUAUUAAAAUUAAGAUUUAUAUAUUAUUUUAAAUAUUUUAUUAAAAUUAUUAAUUUAAUUUUAUAAUUAAUGUAAUAAUGAUAAAAUUAGUAUAAUUUUAUGUGAAUUUAAUUUGAUUUUUUUAGGUUAAGUUAAGGAACUCGGCAAAUAAUUUUUUCGCCUGUUUAUUAAAAACAUGUCUUUUUGAUUAUAAUUUAAAGUCUGACCUGCCCUAUGAUAAGAAUUUAUUAAAUGGCCGCGAUAAUUUGAUCGUGCAAAGGUAGCAUAAUAAUUAGUUUUUUAAUUGAGAACUGGUAUGAAAGGUCGAACGAGAAAAAGACUGUCUCAAUUUAAAUUUAUUAGAAUUUUAUUUUUAAGUAAGAAAGCUUAAAUUUAUUUAAAAGACGAGAAGACCCUAUAGAGUUUUAUAUUUAAUAAAAUUUUUAAAAUUUAAGAAUUUUAUAUUUAAUUUUUUUGUUAAAUAUUUGGUUGGGGCGAUUAGAAAAUUGAAUAAACUUUUCUUUAUUUUUUACAUUGAUAUAUGAUUAAUUGAUCCAUUUAUUAUGAUUAAAAGAUUAAAUUACCUUAGGGAUAACAGCGUAAUUUUUUUUGAGAGUUCAUAUCGAAAAAAAAGUUUGCGACCUCGAUGUUGGAUUAAAAUUAACGUUUGGUGUAGAAGCUAAAUUUGUUAGGUCUGUUCGACCUUUAAAAUUUUACAUGAUCUGAGUUUAAACCGGUGUAAGCCAGGUUGGUUUCUAUCUUUAAAAAUAUAAAAUAUUUUAGUACGAAAGGAUCAAGUAUUUGUAAUAAUUAUUAUAUUUAGAAUAUCAUUAUUACUUUGGCAGAAUAGUGUUUUAAAUUUAGAAUU
RNAcentral lists this ribosomal RNA (1377 nucleotides) under Phalops barbicornis. RNAcentral's name for it is "16S ribosomal RNA". The stretch from base 1100 to 1259 matches the Rfam family "Archaeal large subunit ribosomal RNA", at positions 2544 to 2703 of the family's 2987-position model. The record is from RNAcentral. Lineage: Eukaryota; Metazoa; Arthropoda; Insecta; Coleoptera; Scarabaeidae.